UACGAAGGGGGCUAGCGUUGUUCGGAAUUACUGGGCGUAAAGCGCGCGCAGGUGGUCUUUCAAGUCAGUGGUGAAAGCCCGGAGCUCAACUCCGGAAAUGCCAUUGAAACUGUGAGACUUGAGGACGAGAGAGGUGAGUGGAAUUCCCAGUGUAGAGGUGAAAUUCGUAGAUAUUGGGAAGAACACCGGUGGCGAAGGCGGCUCACUGGCUCGUAUCUGACGCUCAGACGCGACAGCGUGGGGAUCAAACAGG
RNAcentral lists this ribosomal RNA (253 nucleotides) under uncultured bacterium. RNAcentral describes it as "partial 16S ribosomal RNA". It matches the Rfam family "Bacterial small subunit ribosomal RNA", at positions 524 to 776 of the family's 1533-position model. The record is from RNAcentral.